GAUGAACGCUGGCGGCGUGCCUAAUACAUGCAAGUCGAGCGAACAGCCGCGGAGCUUUUUCAUCUGAUGAUAGUGACUGACGGGUGAGUAACUAGUGGAUAACUAACCUAUAAGACUGGGAUAAAUUAGAGACACAGAAGCUAAUAAAGGCUACUUUAUAGAUACGCAUGCUUCAAUAGUUAAAGACGGUUUUGCUAACCUUUAUAUAUGAGUCCGAGCCGCAUUAGCUAGUUGGUAAGGUAAAGGCUUACCAAGGCAAGGAUGCGUAGCCGACCUGAGAGGGUGAUCGGCCACACUGGAACUGAGACACGGUCCAGACUCCUACGGGAGGCAGCAGUAGGGAAUCUUCCGCAAUGGGCGAAAGCCUGACGGAGCAACGCCGCGUGAGUGAUGAAGGUCUUCGGAUCGUAAAACUCUGUUAUUAGGGAAGAACAAAUGUGUAAGUAACUAUGAACGGCUUGACGGUACCUAAUCAGAAAGCCACGGCUAACUACGUG
RNAcentral lists this ribosomal RNA (497 nucleotides) under uncultured bacterium. Its description in RNAcentral is "partial 16S ribosomal RNA". It matches the Rfam family "Bacterial small subunit ribosomal RNA", at positions 28 to 507 of the family's 1533-position model. The record is from RNAcentral.